Long non-coding RNA from Portunus trituberculatus (swimming crab), 1513 nucleotides. RefSeq lists it as uncharacterized. NCBI's taxonomy places the organism in Eukaryota, Metazoa, Arthropoda, Malacostraca, Decapoda, Portunidae. The transcript has 2 exons. The record is from RefSeq and is a predicted model, not a curated record.
UGUGUGUGUGAGAGAGAGAGAGAGAGAGAGAGAGAGAGAGAGAGAGAGAGAGAGAGAGAGAGAGAGAGAGAGAGAGAGAGAGAGAGAAACUUGAUUUGUCUGUAUUGUAAUCAAGUGUCGUGACUUUAUCUCUCCUUCCCUGGUGUGACGGUUGUGUCAGUUCCUCUCAGGGUCACGUCUGUUGGCGGCGGUGUUGUGUUUCUGGCGGAGCGUCUCAUGUGCUGCAGCUCGCACGUGCCGGGGCAUCACAUGACAUCACACACCAGUGGGUGAGUGGGCGUGGGGCACACACAUGACUCUGGGCUGGACGCACACACCACACUUAUCGUGAAUGCGAGCCACUCACAGCGCCCCUCUCUAUCUCUCCCAAACACGUCCCAGUCACCACAACUUAUCGAGGUCACAGCAGACAACGCAGCGUCACAUCCUUAUUAAGCUGGCUGGACGACACGCGGGCGGGAGAUAGUGAGGCGCCCUCAACUCUUAUCGGUAGUGUGAGGAGGGGGCUAUCGCUCUCACUAUCAGUACAACAGCUCGUGCUAAACAGCCGCCACCACUCGGAAGCAGCGCCAACACAAGGCAGUCACUGUCCUGUCAAAACUAUAGCCGCGGUGCGCUCACAGGCAGCGGAAAGGGAGGCUGAGAGAGCGGCCGUGCAGCAGAUCCCUCCCGUGCGAGCGGCGAGAGCAGACUGGCGGUAGCGGGAGUGUAGUGGACGGCGGUGGUGGUGGUGGUAGUCCACAGCGGGACGUGGGAGGAACUCUGGGCGGCAGGGCGGGAGGCACGCCUCUAGUGGUGGUCGGCUACACUACUUACAACCUUCCUAGACUCUGCUCGGGUCUGUGCCUCGCUGUCUGCUCCUCUGCUGCUAAGAACACAUAAUGCUCCGUCCCUCCCGACCACCUCAACAUUGACGCCAGUGCCGCAAAGCCUCGCCUCGCCUCGCCUUGUGCCCUGCGUACACUGCCUUCAUUGCCCCACACUCUGCAGGACCUUCCUCAACCCAGUGCCGGGCCAGCAGUGCCGCCGCAACAAUCCUCUUAGUGCCUCAGUGCCGCCUGUCAUGCCUAUACACAAUCAGUUGGAUCCUCGCUGAGUGACACCCGCGGCCUCACCCGUCACCAAAACUAUCAGACCAUUUGGAUUGUUUUAGUAACGUUAUCUCAGCGCGCCUCAGAUCCUUAAACUAAUGGUAUUUACUUCCUGGACUCUGAUAACACUAAUGACGCAACUGAACGUCCCGCCGCCACAGCGACACCCCACCCACUCACCCUCCCCGCGCCUGUCUCCCCAUCAUGACAGAGCAGCGAGUAACAACACUGCGGCUCUUCACUUAUAUGUAUUCAGAUUUUGCUCAGAGUUUAGGUAAUGCACUGGGACUAAAUAAUGUAAUUGUGGCUUGUCCUUACUUGUUUGCUGCAACGGAGUAAUGAAAACAGUAUAAGCAAAACAUAUUGAUGCUAAAUUGAAGCUAUUCUUUCCACGCUAAAGGUAAUAAAACAUGCUCUCUCUC